Molecule: ribosomal RNA, 253 nt
Filed under: uncultured bacterium
Lineage: Bacteria
Description: partial 16S ribosomal RNA
Rfam family: Bacterial small subunit ribosomal RNA
Source: RNAcentral
UACAGAGGGUGCAAGCGUUAAUCGGAAUUAUUGGGCGUAAAGGGCUUGUAGGCGGUUAUAUAAGUUAGAUGUGAAAACCCUGGGCUUAACCUGGGACGUGCAUAUAAUACUGUAUAGCUAGAGUAUGGUAGAGGAGUAGGGAAUUCCUGGUGUAGCAGUGAAAUGCGUAGAGAUCAGGAGGAACAUCAGUGGCGAAGGCGCUACUCUGGACUAAUACUGACGCUGAGGAGCGAAGGCGUGGGGAUCAAACAGG